UACGGAGGGUGCGAGCGUUAAUCGGAAUUACUGGGCGUAAAGCGUCCGUAGGCGGCUGGUUAAGUCUGAUGUGAAAGCCCUGGGCUUAACCUGGGAACGGCAGUGGAUACUGGCGGGCUAGAGUUCGGGAGAGGGUGGUGGAAUUCCCGGUGUAGCGGUGAAAUGCGUAGAGAUCGGGAGGAACACCAGUGGCGAAGGCGGUCACCUGGCCCGAGACUGACGCUGAGGCGCGAAAGCGUGGGGAGCAAACAGG
Molecule: ribosomal RNA, 253 nt
Filed under: uncultured bacterium
Lineage: Bacteria
Description: partial 16S ribosomal RNA
Rfam family: Bacterial small subunit ribosomal RNA
Source: RNAcentral